This 281-nucleotide long non-coding RNA is filed under the name Hordeum vulgare. RNAcentral describes it as "long non-coding RNA (HVUL_LNC008223)". The record is from RNAcentral. Lineage: Eukaryota; Viridiplantae; Streptophyta; Magnoliopsida; Poales; Poaceae.
CAUGUUGUGCGAUUGGGAGACCGCCGAAUUUUGCUGCUGCGCCGUCAGCAGGGCACGGAUCUGCUCGAGCCCUGUGCCAGCCUCUGAAUCAGUCGACUGGAGGGAAUCGGCUAUCUUGGCGGCGGCAGCCAGGUUGAGGACGGGUGUGCGGAACACCUCAACGUUGCUCUGACGAGUGCGCCUACUGGCAGAACGGCGGGGCUGACGGCGAACGCCAGAUGUUUCGCCGACCUCGUGCUUGUUCCGGCCGGUUUGGCGGGGACUCUCAUGGGAGUUGGCCA